AGAGUUUGAUCCUGGCUCAGAUUGAACGCUGGCGGCAUGCCUUACACAUGCAAGUCGAACGGCAGCGCGGGGCAACCUGGCGGCGAGUGGCGAACGGGUGAGUAACAUAUCGGAACAUACCCUAGAGUGGGGGAUAACGUAGCGAAAGUUACGCUAAUACCGCAUACGAUCUACGGAUGAAAGUGGGGGAUUCGCAAGAACCUCAUGCUCAUGGAGUGGCCGAUAUCUGAUUAGCUAGUUGGUGAGGUAAAGGCCCACCAAGGCGACGAUCAGUAGCUGGUUUGAGAGAACGACCAGCCACACUGGAACUGAGACACGGUCCAGACUCCUACGGGAGGCAGCAGUGGGGAAUUUUGGACAAUGGGGGCAACCCUGAUCCAGCAAUGCCGCGUGAGUGAAGAAGGCCUUCGGG
RNAcentral lists this ribosomal RNA (412 nucleotides) under uncultured bacterium. RNAcentral's name for it is "bacterial SSU rRNA". It matches the Rfam family "Bacterial small subunit ribosomal RNA", at positions 8 to 422 of the family's 1533-position model. The record is from RNAcentral.